GACGAACGCUGGCGGCGUGCUUAACACAUGCAAGUCGAACGGAAAGGCCCCUUCGGGGGUACUCGAGUGGCGAACAGGUGAGUAACACGUGAGUAACCUGCCCUUGACUUCGGGAUAACUUCAGGAAACUGGGGCUAAUACCGGAUAGGAAUCCUUGCUGCAUGGUGGGGGUUGGAAAGCUUCGGCGGUUUUGGAUGGACUCGCGGCUUAUCAGCUUGUUGGUGGGGUAGUGGCUUACCAAGGCUUUGACGGGUAGCCGGCCUGAGAGGGCGACCGGCCACAUUGGGACUGAGAUACGGCCCAGACUCCUACGGGAGGCAGCAAUGGGGAAUAUUGCACAAUGGGCGGAAGCCUGAUGCAGCAACGCCGCGUGCGGGAUGACGGCCUUCGGGUUGUAAACCGCUUUCAGCAGGGGCGAAGCUUGUGGUGACGGUACCUGCAGAAGAAGCACCGGCUAACUACGUGC
Molecule: ribosomal RNA, 466 nt
Filed under: uncultured bacterium
Lineage: Bacteria
Description: partial 16S ribosomal RNA
Rfam family: Bacterial small subunit ribosomal RNA
Source: RNAcentral